GAUGAACGCUGGCGGCGUGCCUAAUACAUGCAAGUCGAGCGAACGGACGAGAAGCUUGCUUCUCUGAUGUUAGCGGCGGACGGGUGAGUCACACGUGGAUAACCUACCUAUAAGACUGGGAUAACUUCGGGAAACCGGAGCUAAUACCGGAUGAUAUUUUGAACCGCAUUGUUCAAAAGUGAAAUACGGUCUUUCUGUCACUUAUAGAUGGUUCAGGGCUGAAUUAGCUAGUUGGUAAGGUAAAGGCUUACCAAGGCAACGAUGCAAAGCCGACAUGAGAGCGACGUCGGCUAGAUGGGAAGAGAGACAGGGCCCAGACACCUAGGGGAGGAAGCAGUAGAGAAUCCUCCGCAAGGGAGGAGAGCGUAACAGAGCAAAGCCGCGGGAGGGAUGAAGGAGCACGGAUCGUAAAGCUCUGAUAGUAGUGGAGAAGAAAAGUGUAAGUAACUGUGCACAUAAUGACGGUACCGAAUCAGAAAGCCCCGGCUAACUACGUG
Molecule: ribosomal RNA, 497 nt
Filed under: uncultured bacterium
Lineage: Bacteria
Description: partial 16S ribosomal RNA
Rfam family: Bacterial small subunit ribosomal RNA
Source: RNAcentral